RNAcentral lists this ribosomal RNA (116 nucleotides) under Pteropus alecto (black flying fox). The record is from RNAcentral. Lineage: Eukaryota; Metazoa; Chordata; Mammalia; Chiroptera; Pteropodidae.
GUGUACAGCCAUGCCACCCUGAACAAGCCCGAUGUCUGAUCUCAGGAGCUAAGCAGGGUCGGGCCUGGUUAGUACUUGGAUGGGAGACCUCCUAGGAAGACCAGGUACUGUAGGCA